This 148-nucleotide non-coding RNA is filed under the name Homo sapiens (human). The record is from Rfam by way of RNAcentral. Lineage: Eukaryota; Metazoa; Chordata; Mammalia; Primates; Hominidae.
GCCAGGCAUGGUGGUGCAUGCCUGUAGUCUCAGCUACUCGGGAGGCUGAGGCAGGAGAAUUGCUUGAACCCAGGAGGCGGAGGUUGCAGUGAGCCGAGAUCGUGCCACUGCACUCCAGCCUGGGUGACAAAGCGAGACUCUGUCUUAA